Gastrolobium bilobum is the source of this 3536-nucleotide long non-coding RNA. RefSeq lists it as uncharacterized. The record is from RefSeq and is a predicted model, not a curated record. The transcript has 6 exons. NCBI's taxonomy places the organism in Eukaryota, Viridiplantae, Streptophyta, Magnoliopsida, Fabales, Fabaceae.
CAUGCAUAAAAACAAAGGGCAAGCCUAGAACUUGGAUUAUUAGCCACUUUUUCUCUUGGAUGUCUUCAUGAAACUUCAAGCUUAUGGUCUUGUAAACAUAUCCAUAGGUGUAGUUGUUUGAGAGAAGCCUUUUACGUUGAGUUUUUUGCCUCCUUGUCAUGCAAACGACUUUCUGCCUAAGGGGGUUUAAUGGUGUUUCAUCCAUUGUUGAAGAUUGGAAAGUGUUGAGGAGGUGUGAAGGAGACUAAAUAAGGUCUUCAAAUGCUUGUUUUCCUCCUUGAAAAGCCAGCGACCUGCACUUGAAAAGGAAGCAAAGAGGGGCUGUUUUCUGAGUUUUAAAGUUGGAAGACAAUCUCUAAGCCAAUUGGAGUUUAAUGGUGGUUGCCUCCCACGGACAUGAUGCUUGAGGAUUGAGCUUGGUGGACUGCCUUUGGUCCUUGACCAAAAGGAUUUGGGCAUUUCUGAGUGGACGAAGUUACAGUAAAACUUGCGUGGAGCUACCUUGCUUGGGAGCUUCAAUAAGGGUUUGUGAUCGACAAUGCUGUUUGCUCCACAGCGACUAUAGUCAAGGUUGAUAGCGCUAGAAAGCAUGGGAUUCUUUUGGAUGUUGAAUAAGUGCUGAUUGAUGGCAGGUGGUUCAUGGAUGGUAAGCUAAUUUUCCUUUUUAUUUCUUUUCAGGAAUAUUCUUUGAUUCUGUGUGCAUUAAACUUGCUAUUUUAUACGCAGUUUUCCAUGUUAUAUAUCAAAACGGAAACAAGCUAACAGAUGAAAGCGUUUUAAGAUAUAUUGAACAGGUAGUGAUUGUGGCUUUAGAAGUUGCAAUUUAAUUUACAAUACCUUACUGGUUAAAGGAGAUUAUGAUAUGGAGUUAUAUGGGCAGCCUCAAUUUCUAACCAUGCUAGUUGUGCAACAGUAAGAAGUCCUUGUUGCAAGUAUUUAUGUCCAAUAAGAUUUAUACCAAACAAUAUUGAUGAUGAUAUUCAUCAAACUAUUUUUUCUAUGAAAUUCUAGAUAAAUGGAAGUUAUAUUCAUCAUAGAAUGAUGCCAAAAUCUGUUUAUUUGUUUUUCCCUUUCAUGUCAAUUAUUUACAUGUGCUAUUUUUUUAAGAAAAAAAUCUAAAUCAAUGAAAGUAGAGAUUCAUCAUACAAUAUGACAAUUGUUGGCAAAAUUAAGCGUUCCUCUUGUUUGAUUAGUGGUUGUGUUGUCUACUUUUUAGGGGUUGUUGUUCAAACUUUUCAUUUCUCUAUGAUGGAUCACUCUAUAACAACUACUGAAGACAUUGAUAUGAAUGGAAGUUUAGUAUGUUAUGAUGACAUUGUUGAUCUAGAGAAAGACAACGAUGGAUUUGGAGAAGAUUAUAAGUGUGAAAUCAUAAAAGAAGAAGAUGGUGGCCGCGAGAAGAUAAUGUACAUGAAAUUAUGGUAGAUGAUGAUAGUGAAAUCAUGAAACAAGAAGAUGAUGACCACGGGGAGGAUAAUAUACAUGAAAUUGUUGUAGAUGAUGAUGAUGAAUUUAGUGAGACUCCAAUUUUAUGUAGAGUACAAGAACACAAGAACCAUAUAGGUGAAAUACGUAAGCAAUAUUGUAACAAGAGUACAAGAACACAAGAACCAUAUAGUUGGAAAUUUUUGCAUACAUGCUCUCUAUAAGGGUAGCAACAACAAUAUCUAAUAGUAUCCCUAACUGUAAAGCAAUAUUAUGAACUUCCUUUCCUUUCUCUAGGUCUCUCAUAUCUAUAGCAGCCAAAAGGGCAUUUACAACUGAUACCUUAUUCAUAUUAACAUUCUUCUGCUUCAUUUUAACAUGUUAAACAAUCCUAAUAGAUCUAAAUUAUGUGAAGCAAUCUUUGAGCUCAGACCGGUCUAUUGUUUGAGUUUAAAUUAAUGACUGUUGGCUAGUUUAUGUUGCACUGCCUUUGCUAAUAUACAUGCUGUUAAAUCCUCAUUGAGUACCAAAAAAUAAAAUCAAAACUAAUGGAACAGAACAAUAGAAGAGUGUCUGCUUUUUAAGAUGAUGGAGAAGUGAGAAACUCGGAUUUGGAUUUAGUGCCUCCUACAUAAGCUUUCUCCAAAGCCAAUCCAAUCCGUUCAUACAUAAUCCUGUAGAUUAAUAUGUCAAUAUAUGUAACAUAAGAAUUAUAUAAUCAUUAGACUAUUAGAGGGUGGAUGGAUUUGAUGAUCUUUAAAUGAUGUUUUUUCCAUCUCCGAGACAUUAAAAGCUCUGUCUAUAUAAGUUGUCGUUCUUGCAAACCAUAUUUGUAGAGAAAUCUAAUUAACAAGAAAUCGUUGCUAAUCAGAGAUUUCUUCCAUCAUGACCCUUCAACCGAAACUAGCAAAGGCAUAGCAAGCACAACAAACUUAUGCAAAAAUAAAUAAGGGAAUAAAUCGUUAUUUCUCAUUAAUCUAUCCACAAAAAUGGACAAACAGAAUAGGGUCCAAAACAUUGAAAUAUCCUAUUUCUCUAUUUCUCAUUAAUUAAUCUCUAUUUCUCAUAUUUACAACUGACACGCUCCAUCAGCAUGGUCCAAAACAUUCUCAGUGCUUCACAAGGAUUUGAGCUUUGAGGUAAGCCUAAAAUCCAUGCAGCAAUAUCCUUCUUGGGCAUCUUAUCAAAUAUCUUUUGUGCACUAUCUAGGUGACCCAUUUUACAGGACAUGUCAAUGAGACCAGUCCCAAUAAAGGUAUCACAUUCUAACUCCCUCCAAGCUAUAUCUUGGUGAAUGGCAACACCCUCAUCAUGGAAAUUUUAAGCACCAGUACAAGCCUUUAUAACAAAGAAUCAGAGAUGGGUUAGUGAUAGAAUUGAACGUCGAUUGAGCCAAGUUGCAUUGGUGGAAGAAAGAGUAUGAAUUGAUGAGAUGGACAGUGAUGGAAUGGUGAUGUUGUUAGAGUCCCGAGACAAGCAAACAGGAAUGAAUUUGAAGCAGAGCAUUUAAGAGUUUGCAUGAACGAAGAAGGUGAAGGUAAUAGCUGUGGUGGUGGUGGUAAUGUUGUGGAAUGUUGUUGGUGGAUGAAGAUGGAGUUUGAGAAAUUGCAGAGGCAUGAGCAAUGAAAGUGAAUGUGGUGGAACCUAUGGUUGUGAAGUGAAUGUCUUGCUUUCAUGCGUCCCUUUCAAGACACAAUGAAAGUGACGAUAUGUUAAUAUUCUGACAAUCAAUGGAAGGUUACAGACGUGGCUUGAUGAUGGUGUGCGAUUUAGCAGCGAAACUCCGACACAAUGACUGGUUGGAGGGAAGAAGAUGUUUUGCAACAAAAGAGGGGAAAAUAAAAUCAAAAACCAAAGAGGAAAAAAGAAGAAGGAAGAAAUGAUGUCGUUUCCCCCUUGCUGCAGUUUGUCUUUUCUGCCUCAAAAGCAAGCAGAUGUAUUAAUCCCUAUAGCAAACUGAUUAUGAGAUUAUUAUUUUUGUGUUUCGAUUUUCUAGGUGCGCUAUUUUUCUCACUUUGUAGACAUAUUUUAUGUGGAGUUCAUAUCUAUUAAAAAAUAAAAAAAAUAUUGUACGAAAAUGGAAGGAUAGUAGAAAAAAAAAAUCUCCUACA